UAAGCUUGUGUCAUAUACAUAGAAUCUUUCUCUCUCUAUAUAUAUAUUCUGUGGGUGGUGGUGCAUUGUUGUUCGUAGUUGGUGGAGCAAUUCGUCUGGUUGAUUCCGAUAAGGAGCCUGAUUCUAUAAUGUUAAAUAGUUAUGCGGCCCUUCAUGGUCAGUGUUGGCAAUUUCUUAGAGCGACAAAUGGCAUUUAGCCACGAUAGACUGAGCAAUAACAGGUCUGUGAUCUCCUUAGAUGUCUAUCCUUCACACGCAGGACAAUGAGCGGAUCAAUGUGUGCCUACCCUGCACCAACAGUUGCGGGUAACCCGUUGAAUUAUGUCCAUGAUGAGGGCCAGGGAUUGAAACUGUUUUCCAAGAACAAGGA
This 370-nucleotide non-coding RNA is filed under the name Danio rerio (zebrafish). RNAcentral describes it as "Eukaryotic small subunit ribosomal RNA". It matches the Rfam family "Eukaryotic small subunit ribosomal RNA", at positions 1235 to 1609 of the family's 1831-position model. Lineage: Eukaryota; Metazoa; Chordata; Actinopteri; Cypriniformes; Danionidae. The record is from Rfam by way of RNAcentral.